AGGGUUCGAUUCUGGCUCAGGAUUAACGCUGGCGGCAUGCCUAAUACAUGCAAGUCGAAUGAGAAGCUUGCUUCUCAUGGCGAACGGGUGAGUAACACGUAGGUAACCUGCCUUACACUCGAGGAUAACCGUUGGAAACGACGGAUAAUACUGGAUAGGACAGAGAUUCGCAUGAGACUCUGUUUAAAAAGCAAUGGUGUAUGAGGGGCCUGCGGUGCAUUAGCUAGUUGGUGAGGUAACGGCUCACCAAGGCGAUGAUGCAUAGCUGGACUGAGAGGUUGAACAGCCACAAUGGGACUGAGAACGGCCCAUACUCCUACGGGAGGCAGCAGUAGGGAAUUUUCGGCAAUGGGGGAAACCCUGACCGAGCAAUGCCGCGUGAACGAUGAAGUAUUUCGGUAUGUAAAGUUCUUUUAUUAGGAAAGAUAGUGACGGUACCUAAUGAAUAAGCUCCGGCUAACUACGUGCCAGCCGCGGC
RNAcentral lists this ribosomal RNA (478 nucleotides) under uncultured bacterium. RNAcentral's name for it is "bacterial SSU rRNA". It matches the Rfam family "Bacterial small subunit ribosomal RNA", at positions 8 to 518 of the family's 1533-position model. The record is from RNAcentral.